CUACGGGGUGCACCAGUCGAGAAUCUUCCGCAAUGGGCGAAAGCCUGACGGAGCGACGCCGCGUGAAUGAUGGAGCUCUUCGGAGUGUAAAAUUCUUUUCUAUCUGAGAAAUCUUUUGAUGAUAUUAAGAUAGGAAUAAGGGGCCGCUAAACUCGUGCCAGCAGCGGCGGUAAUACGAGUGCCCCAAGCGUUAUCCGGAAUUACUGGGCGUAAAGCGUGAGUAGGCGGUUUUAAUAGUGACUGGUUAAAUUCUGAGGCUCAACUUCAGAAUCGCUGGUCAAACGUUAAAACUAGAGCAAGCGAGAGGCUGAUGGAACCUAUCAAGUAGGGGUGAAAUCCGUUGAUAUGAUAGGGAACACCAAAGGCGAAGGCAUUCAGCUGGCGCUUAGCUGACGCUGAGUCACGAAAGCGUGGGUAGCGAACGGGAUUAGAUACCCCCGUAGUC
This 445-nucleotide ribosomal RNA is filed under the name uncultured bacterium. RNAcentral's name for it is "partial 16S ribosomal RNA". It matches the Rfam family "Bacterial small subunit ribosomal RNA", at positions 339 to 795 of the family's 1533-position model. The record is from RNAcentral.